RNAcentral lists this ribosomal RNA (77 nucleotides) under Azospirillum brasilense. RNAcentral also lists the same sequence under 1 other name. The record is from RNAcentral. Lineage: Bacteria; Pseudomonadati; Pseudomonadota; Alphaproteobacteria; Rhodospirillales; Azospirillaceae.
UCCGAACUCGGCCGUGAAACGCCUCAGCGCCGAUGGUACUGCGUCUUAAGACGUGGGAGAGUAGGUCGCCGCCAGGU